GAUGAACGCUAGCGGCAGGCCUAACACAUGCAAGUCGAGGGGCAGCAUAAAAAUUCAGCAAUGAGUUUUGGUGGCGACCGGCGGACGGGUGCGUAACGCGUAUGCAACCUACCUUUAACAGGGGGAUAACGGAGAGAAAUUUCCACUAAUACCCCAUAAUAUCAGGAGAGGCAUCCCUUUCGGUUGAAAUCUCCGGAGGUUAAAGAUGGGCAUGCGUUGUAUUAGGUAGUUGGUGGGGUAAUGGCUCACCAAGCCUACGAUACAUAGGGGGACUGAGAGGUUAGCCCCCCACACUGGUACUGAGACACGGACCAGACUCCUACGGGAGGCAGCAGUGAGGAAUAUUGGUCAAUGGGGGCAACCCUGAACCAGCCAUGCCGCGUGCAGGAAGACGGCUCUAUGAGUUGUAAACUGCUUUUGUACAGGGAUAAAUCGGGGAACGUGUUCCCCGUUGAAGGUACUGUAUGAAUAAGGAUCGGCUAACUCCGUGCCAGCCGCCGCCGUAA
Molecule: ribosomal RNA, 506 nt
Filed under: uncultured bacterium
Lineage: Bacteria
Description: partial 16S ribosomal RNA
Rfam family: Bacterial small subunit ribosomal RNA
Source: RNAcentral